GUGCCAGCAGCCGCGGUAAAACGUAGGAGACAAACGUUAUCCGGAGUUACUGGGCGUAAAGGGCGUGCAGGCGGUUUCUUAAGUUCGUCGUGAAAUCGCCCGGCUUAACCGGGCGGGGUCGAUGGAUACUGGGAGACUUGAGGGCGGUAGAGGCGUGUGGAAUUCCGGGUGUAGUGGUGAAAUGCGUAGAUAUCCGGAGGAACACCAGUGGCGAAGGCGACACGCUGGGCCGUACCUGACGCUAAGACGCGACAGCAUGGGGAGCGAACGGGAUUAGAAACCCGCGUAGUCC
This 292-nucleotide ribosomal RNA is filed under the name uncultured bacterium. Its description in RNAcentral is "partial 16S ribosomal RNA". It matches the Rfam family "Bacterial small subunit ribosomal RNA", at positions 505 to 796 of the family's 1533-position model. The record is from RNAcentral.